This 460-nucleotide ribosomal RNA is filed under the name uncultured bacterium. RNAcentral describes it as "partial 16S ribosomal RNA". It matches the Rfam family "Bacterial small subunit ribosomal RNA", at positions 338 to 795 of the family's 1533-position model. The record is from RNAcentral.
CCUACGGGUGGCAGCAGUGAGGAAUAUUGGUCAAUGGCCGUAAGACUGAACCAGCCAAGUCGCGUGAAGGAAGAAGGACCUAUGGGUUGUAAACUGCUUUUAUAGGGGAAUAAAGGGAGCCACGUGUGGAGUUUUGCAUGUACCCCAUGAAUAAGGAUCGGCUAACUCCGUGCCAGCAGCCGCGGUAAUACGGAGGUUGCGAGCGUUAUCCGGAUUUAUUGGGUUUAAAGGGUGCGUAGGUGGUUUUUUAAGUCAGCGGUGAAAGUUUGUGGCUCAACCAUAAAAUUGCCGUUGAAACUGGCAGCCUUGAGUGUGUUUGAUGUAGGCGGAAUUCGUGGUGUAGCGGUGACAUGCUUAGAUAUCACGCAGAACUCCGAUUGCGAAGGCAGCUUACUCCACCAUUCCUGACACUGACGCUCGAAAGCGUGGGUAUCAAACAGGAUUAGAUACCCUUGUAGUC